Molecule: ribosomal RNA, 97 nt
Filed under: Octodon degus (degu)
Lineage: Eukaryota; Metazoa; Chordata; Mammalia; Rodentia; Octodontidae
Source: RNAcentral
GUCUACGGCCACACCACCCUGAAUGCACCCGAUAUCGUCUAAUCUCGGAAGCUAAGCAGGGUUGGGCCUGGUUAAUACUUGGGUGGCAGAAUAGACU